GCCGCUGGCGACNUCGCGAGAAGUCCACUGAACCUUAUCAUUUAGAGGAAGGAGAAGUCGUAACAAGGNUUUCCGUAGGUGAACCUGCGGAAGGAUCAUUGUCGAU
Molecule: ribosomal RNA, 106 nt
Filed under: Macrolobium montanum
Lineage: Eukaryota; Viridiplantae; Streptophyta; Magnoliopsida; Fabales; Fabaceae
Description: partial 18S ribosomal RNA
Rfam family: Eukaryotic small subunit ribosomal RNA
Source: RNAcentral